RNAcentral lists this ribosomal RNA (253 nucleotides) under uncultured bacterium. RNAcentral describes it as "partial 16S ribosomal RNA". It matches the Rfam family "Bacterial small subunit ribosomal RNA", at positions 524 to 776 of the family's 1533-position model. The record is from RNAcentral.
UACGUAGGGUGCGAGCGUUAAUCGGAAUUACUGGGCGUAAAGCGUGCGCAGGCGGUCUGUUAAGACCGAUGUGAAAUCCCCGGGCUCAACCUGGGAACUGCCUUUGUGACUGCAAGGCUUGAGUGCGGCAGAGGGGGAUGGAAUUCCGCGUGUAGCAGUGAAAUGCGUAGAUAUGCGGAGGAACACCGAUGGCGAAGGCAAUCCCCUGGGCCUGCACUGACGCUCAUGCACGAAAGCGUGGGGAGCAAACAGG